RNAcentral lists this transfer RNA (83 nucleotides) under Candidatus Nanoarchaeia archaeon. Its description in RNAcentral is "tRNA-Ser". It matches the Rfam family "tRNA". Rfam says of the family: Transfer RNA (tRNA) molecules are approximately 80 nucleotides in length. Their secondary structure includes four short double-helical elements and three loops (D, anti-codon, and T loops). Further hydrogen bonds mediate the characteristic L-shaped molecular structure. tRNAs have two regions of fundamental functional importance: the anti-codon, which is responsible for specific mRNA codon recognition, and the 3' end, to which the tRNAs corresponding amino acid is attached (by aminoacyl-tRNA synthetases). tRNAs cope with the degeneracy of the genetic code in two manners: having more than one tRNA (with a specific anti-codon) for a particular amino acid; and 'wobble' base-pairing, i.e. permitting non-standard base-pairing at the 3rd anti-codon position. The record is from RNAcentral. Lineage: Archaea; Nanobdellati; Nanobdellota; Candidatus Nanoarchaeia.
GCCGGUGUCGCUUAACCUGGUAGAGCGACGGUCUCGAAAACCGUUGUCCGUAGGACGUGGAGGUUCAAAUCCUCCCACCGGCG